UGUGUGUCUGUGUAGUUCAAAUGAUAGCAGAAUGGGAAAACCGAAGUAACCCGUGAACAUGUCAGAAGCUGUAUCGUGACUCUGUUCACUUCCUCUUCCUCUUCCUUUCGAGUGAGUGAGUGAGUGAGAGUUAGUGAGAGAGAGAGAGAGCGAGGGAGAGAGAGAGGGAGAUACAGAGAUACAUACAGCGAAAUGAUAUGAAAGGUGCUAAGGCCGGAAGUGUUCGGAAAGAGGAAGUUGAGAGUUGUGAGUCAGAGACAAGAAAUUGGUGUGAAGACAGAGAUACACAAAUUAGAGUAAGUAUGGUGGAGUGGAAAAAAGGACAGAGGUAAAAAAUAAAUAAAAAACAACGGAUGAAACUGAACUGGAAAACACAACAAAAAGACAACAAGUGAAGAGGAAAGGAGAAGGCUGAACAUUGCGACAGAUGACAGAGUCGGAUAUGAGAAAACGCUGUGUCGGCACUCUUCUGGUCCUCAUGCUGAUACAGACAGGCAUGACAGACAGUGGGAUUUCUGUAUCUCACAAAUGGCAUGGAGGUUACCUAUCUAUCACCUGUCGUCUCAUGGGGGACAAAGACACUGUUUCUCAGAUCAACUGGGAGAUGACCAGCAGUUCGAACCACACCACCACCAGAUUGAAACUGGGCAUCUUCCACCCCGUGUUUGGUACCUACGUGGUCCCGGAGUACAACGAUACUGUGGAGAUCCAGGGUAACGCCUCCAGCGGCCAUUACACGCUCAGGCUGAGAGGUAGCACUGUGUUGGAGGAGAGUCAGUUCUGCUGUAAAUUCAUGACCUUUCCCUCUGGAGGGCUGGAGCAGUGUACAAAUGCCAGGAUUAAUGAAAGCACAGAGGAGGCCCAGGUGUCAGAAGGCCCACAGGGUUUACUAGAGGAGAGACAAGUGGAGCAGUGGGCUCUGCUAGUAAUGGGACCUACCAUCUGUCUCCUCAGUAUCGCAAUCUCUCUCUACUACUGCUUGAAGUAUUGCUGCAGACACUGCUACCGCAGGAGGCAAGUGUUCGAGGUGGAGACUUAUCUGACAGACCAGCACACAGACUCGGAGGAGGUCACAGAGGAGCCCCCCCAUCAACCCCCCCUUCCCUCACCCCCUCCCCUCCAGCUCCAGGGUUUUGACCCCUCUAAGCUCUACACUAAGAUCAAGCAGGACCUGCUGUAUGGACGACUAUGGAAGGCCUACCAGGGGACAGCUAAGGCCUGGGGCCCCACAACACAGCAGGGUCCACACCAGCAAGGGCCACAACAAGGGGCAAAACUAGGGCCACAAAAGGUCUAUUUUCUUCUGGGGGAUCAUCGGGUGUCACAGAGAGAGGAACCAGAAGAACCAGAACUAGAACCUAAUCUAGAACAAGAACAAGACCCUCAACCAACCCUUGAAGGAACCGUGGAACCACAGACUGAGCUUGAACCUAUCCAUCCAUUAGCCCUGGAACCUGGAACACAGAUGGAGGUUCAAGAACCAGAAUGUAAUUUAGAACUAGAACCCAACUUCCCAUCAACCCUUUCUGCACAGAGGGAGGAACUGGAAUCAGACAUAGGAACAGAGAAAGAGGAAAUUGAAGAAACCAGAGACUAACCCUUCAGCGAGGAGGUUCAUGAAGGGAAGGUGUGUUGUGUUGUUGUGUGUGUGUGCGGGCUGUGCGUGUGUGCGUGUGUACGUGUGUACGUGUGUGUUGGGAGGAAUAAUGCACUGUUGACAUUGGGUGAAUAACCCUGACCUCCUAAGGUUAGCUGUCAAUCAAUACGAUUAAUAAUUAUGGCCCCAGUGGGAAAUUUGUAGUGAAAAUUAAACUCACAGGUAAUCGCCAUGGUUUUUUGUUUACUGUGAACAUCGUACAUGUGGUUAGACGUCUCGGCCAUCACUCAGACAUUUCUCUCUCUCUCACACACACACACACACACACACACACACACACACACACACACACACACACACACACACACACACACACACACACACACACACACACACACACACACACACACACACACACACACACACACACACACACACACACACACACACACACACACAGACACACAGACAGACAGACAGACAGACAGACACCACACACACACUGGUCAAUGGGGUUUGAAGUCUCGGCCAUCGCUCAGAUGUUCCUCACAUUUGAGCUCACAACAGUGUGGCAUACAGUAACUGUAUGAUGUGCGGUGUGAAUAGAACAUUAUGCUUUUAAAUAUAGUAUUGGGUUGCAUGACCUUUAGAUUCUAGAAAAGAGCUGUUAUAGCCAACUGAUCUGUUAUUGUAAGGAGCAAGACAGUGAGUGAUUUUUAUCUUGUGUAUCUGGUUUUGUGAUUGCAAUUUCUGUAUAUAAUGUUUAUUCCUUUGUUUCAAUUAAAAAUCAGACUAGCAAAAGUGUUUGAGUCCUUCACUUGAUAUCUAGAAUAUGCCUGCUUUUUUAGGGGGGCCACUGGGGGACGACACAAGACCAUUUAUUCACUAACCUCGGUCCCAGGAAAUUUAGCACAACGCAUACGUCAACGAUUCAUAGUUGGCCUUAGUGGGAGUGACCAUAGAAUUCUAUGGGAGUGACCUAACUGGGUAAAGUUGGGAUAGUUCUAACCACAGGAGGUUAGUGGUACCUUAAUUGGGGAGAACAGGCUUGUGGUAAUGGCUGGAGUGGAAUCAGUGGAAUGGUAUCAAAUACGUCAAACAGUGUUUCCAGGUGUUUGAUGCCAUUCCACAUGUUCCGCUCCAGACAUUAUUAUGAGUUUUUCUCCCCCACUCACGUGGUUCUAACAGACUAAUGCAUGUAAAAUAAUGUGUUAUGAGGCUAAGGAUAUUAAUU
Molecule: long non-coding RNA, 2831 nt
Organism: Oncorhynchus kisutch (coho salmon)
Lineage: Eukaryota; Metazoa; Chordata; Actinopteri; Salmoniformes; Salmonidae
Source: Ensembl